Molecule: long non-coding RNA, 666 nt
Organism: Acanthopagrus latus (yellowfin seabream)
Lineage: Eukaryota; Metazoa; Chordata; Actinopteri; Spariformes; Sparidae
Exons: 2
Source: RefSeq, a predicted model, not a curated record
CUUUGUGGUUGCUUUGCGUCUCUUUGUGUUUGUUAAGCAUAGUCCUUGUAGGUUCAGAACCUGGUUGGAUUAUUUAGUAAUCCAUCCACAGAACAACAAGCCAUCUUCUUCUCACUGUCCGACCCUGUCAGGAGGACUCAGAGGGGGACUGUUCCACUUGUGGCCACGCCUUCAGCUCCACCCCUGUUCAACACGAUGCUGACAGGUUUAAUGUCACAGACAGGGAGGAUGGCGUUCUUUCAGCACGGAGGGGACAAUGGUGGACCCCUAUCAGGCCCGCUCCAGACCUGCCUGCCCAGACCUCAGCCUUCCUGCCAGGCUCCGGGCCAUGACAUUUUGAUUGAGCACACUGGGUCGGUGGCGGUAACAAGCCACCGCUGAGAUGUCGCUGCUGAUUUGGGCUUCGUCUGCCAGGCUGUGACUUUGACCCAGCGAGGGGAGGGAUAGGAGGGAACUCUUCAUCCCAGCCAUUACUCUCAGUCUGCUGGCUGGGACGCUGACCUUUGUGCCAGUGUUGGUUUGGAAGUAAAUGGCGAUUAGUGCUGUUGUGCUGAGCAGGAAUGUGACGGUGAUGUGCUGGCAGGUGUGAACCGAGCCUGCAGGAUGCCGAGCGCCGGAUGAGAGGGUUUCAGGCAGGUGUAUUAUGUAAUAAAACAUAAUGCUGGA